GGAGUUAGCCGGUGCUUCUUCUGCGAGUAACGUCACAGAUGUAAGGUAUUAACUUACACCCUUUCCUCCUCGCUGAAAGUGCUUUACAACCCGAAGGCCUUCUUCACACACGCGGCAUGGCUGCAUCAGGGUUUCCCCCAUUGUGCAAUAUUCCCCACUGCUGCCUCCCGUAGGAGUCUGGGCCGUGUCUCAGUCCCAGUGUGGCUGAUCAUCCUCUCAGACCAGCUAGGGAUCGUCGCCUAGGUGAGCCUUUACCUCACCUACUAGCUAAUCCCACCUGGGCUUAUCCAUCAGCGCAAGGCCCGAAGGUCCCCUGCUUUCCCACGUAGGGCGUAUGCGGUAUUAGCAGUCGUUUCCAACUGUUAUCCCCCACAAAUGGGCAAAUUCCCAGGCAUUACUCACCCGUCCGCCGCUCGUCAUCUUCAAAAGCAAGCUUUUGAAAUGUUACCGCUCGACUUGCAUGUGUUAGGCCUGCCGCCAGCGUUCAAUCUGAGCCAGAAUCAAACUCUGA
This 511-nucleotide ribosomal RNA is filed under the name uncultured bacterium. Its description in RNAcentral is "partial 16S ribosomal RNA". The record is from RNAcentral.